GAAACACUUGACCCUGCUGGCAUCAACCCUGCCAGGGCUAGGCCAGAAGGGAAUGUGGGGGAAAUUUUUAAACUGAUUCAUUAGGAAAGGAGAGGCUGGAGUCCUCCAGUUUCUCUCUGGAGAAGUUUAGAAAAGAGAAGGGUUUGGGGGACCUGUUUCUAUCAAAGGAUCUCAGCUACCUUGGAGGGAGUGAUAUGUGUAUGAGGAUCCCCCAGGGUGAAGCAAACACCGAGAGUCACCCUUGGGUCCCCACGUGCAUG
RNAcentral lists this long non-coding RNA (260 nucleotides) under Monodelphis domestica (gray short-tailed opossum). RNAcentral's name for it is "lncRNA (ENSMODG00000045097.1)". The record is from RNAcentral. Lineage: Eukaryota; Metazoa; Chordata; Mammalia; Didelphimorphia; Didelphidae.